This 115-nucleotide ribosomal RNA is filed under the name Staphylococcus aureus. The record is from RNAcentral. Lineage: Bacteria; Bacillati; Bacillota; Bacilli; Caryophanales; Staphylococcaceae.
GAUAUCAUACCACGUUGAAUACUCCGGUUCUCGUCCGAUCACCGAAGUUAAGCAGCGUCAGGCACGGUUAGUACUUGGAUGGGAGAACAACUGGGAAUACCAAGUGUAGUAAGCU